RNAcentral lists this non-coding RNA (29 nucleotides) under Rattus norvegicus (Norway rat). The record is from RNAcentral. Lineage: Eukaryota; Metazoa; Chordata; Mammalia; Rodentia; Muridae.
UAAGAGCCCUGUGGUUUUUCCUUCAGUCU